RNAcentral lists this transfer RNA (85 nucleotides) under Felis catus (domestic cat). It matches the Rfam family "tRNA". Rfam says of the family: Transfer RNA (tRNA) molecules are approximately 80 nucleotides in length. Their secondary structure includes four short double-helical elements and three loops (D, anti-codon, and T loops). Further hydrogen bonds mediate the characteristic L-shaped molecular structure. tRNAs have two regions of fundamental functional importance: the anti-codon, which is responsible for specific mRNA codon recognition, and the 3' end, to which the tRNAs corresponding amino acid is attached (by aminoacyl-tRNA synthetases). tRNAs cope with the degeneracy of the genetic code in two manners: having more than one tRNA (with a specific anti-codon) for a particular amino acid; and 'wobble' base-pairing, i.e. permitting non-standard base-pairing at the 3rd anti-codon position. Lineage: Eukaryota; Metazoa; Chordata; Mammalia; Carnivora; Felidae. The record is from Rfam by way of RNAcentral.
GCCUGGGUGGCUAGGUUGGUUAAGUGUCUGACUUUGGCUCAGGUCAUGAUCUCACAGUUCAUGGGUUCAAGUCCCAUGUCAGGUU